GUGCAAUGGAAUUGUUUAUUAUCUGAAAAGAUUUUGGAGCAGAAAUAAUUUGUCCAGCCUUAGCACCGAUGGGUAGUAAUUUCUGAUGAAGGAAUGUCUGAAUGAAAGACCCUGAAUGGGCAACAGAGCCAGCAUGAUUUCAAACAACAGGACACGACUUUACAGGAAUGAUAAAUAGAUCUUGUUGCAGAGGUUUAUUUUGGGAUCUUGAAAUUUUACUGGACAAUAAUUCAAAAGCAUGAGAUUUGCUGAUAAAAGACACACUGGGCAGAACCUUCCCAGCCCCUGAACAACAUGGCCAUUGGUGAGACUGUUGGGAAAAGAGGAUGAGAUUGGCAGCAAUAAAGAAGAACUGUCCCAAUUUUCCAGCCAAACGUUGAACAGAGACGUGAGAACCUCACUUGCGAGCAGUCCAUAUUGAUGUAUAGCCCAUGGCCCUCUGUGUUAGACUCCUCAAUGUCUCACUGUCUGGAGAUCUCUGCGAACGAGCUGGAUACCUUAAGAAUAUCAUCAUAUUCUCUUCCAUGGACAAUUGAAGUAUCUUCAUCAGAGCUUGGCAGAAUGAAGGUGGGCCUGUGAGUGUUAAGUUUCUUAUCUUCCUCCUGUAUAAUUUGCUCUGAUUUAUUAUAAUAGUCUUAGCAUUGUUCUAGUUGCAUG
Long non-coding RNA from Rhincodon typus (whale shark), 657 nucleotides. RefSeq lists it as uncharacterized. Lineage: Eukaryota; Metazoa; Chordata; Chondrichthyes; Orectolobiformes; Rhincodontidae. The record is from RefSeq and is a predicted model, not a curated record. The transcript is spliced from 3 exons.